GAUGAAGAACUUAGCGAAAUGCGAUAAGUAAUGUGAAUUGCAGAAUUCAGUGAAUCAUCGAAUCUUUGAACGCACAUUGCGCCCAUUAGUAUUCUAGUGGGCAUGCCUGUUCGAGCGUCAUUUCAACCCUUAAGCCUAGCUUAGUAUUGGGAAUCGACUUUACUGUCGUUCCUCAAAUUCAACGGCGGAUUUAUAGCAAUCUCUGAACGUAGUAAUUUUUUUCCUCGUUUUUGAAAUACUAUAAACCUCAGCCGCUAAACCCCCAAUUUUUCUAUGGUUGACCUCGGAUCAGGUAGGAAUACCCGCUGAACUUAAGCAUAUCAAUAAGCGGAGGA
Molecule: unclassified non-coding RNA, 335 nt
Filed under: soil metagenome
Description: partial contains 5.8S ribosomal RNA, internal transcribed spacer 2, and large subunit ribosomal RNA
Rfam family: 5.8S ribosomal RNA (bases 1-120)
Source: RNAcentral